CCCUUAGAUUUUCUGGGCCGCACGCGUGCUACACUGAGUGGAUCAGCGGGUCAGGUUACGCGAGAGCGUUUCCUAAUCUUCAAAUCCGCUCGUGAUGGGGAUUGACGGUUGCAAUUUUCCGUCAUGAACGAGGAAUACCUUGUAAGCGCGGGUCAUCAUCCCGCGCUGAAUACGUCCCUGCCCUUUGUACACACCGCCCGUCGCUCCUACCGAUUGAGUGGUCCGGUGAGGCUUUGGGAUCUAAGCGAAAAGAGCGUUUCGCUCCUUUUGCUGGGAGAACUCAGUCGAACCUUAUCAUUUAGAGGAAGGAGAAGUCGUAACA
Molecule: ribosomal RNA, 322 nt
Filed under: uncultured eukaryote
Lineage: Eukaryota
Description: partial 18S ribosomal RNA
Rfam family: Eukaryotic small subunit ribosomal RNA
Source: RNAcentral